This 620-nucleotide ribosomal RNA is filed under the name uncultured bacterium. Its description in RNAcentral is "bacterial SSU rRNA". It matches the Rfam family "Bacterial small subunit ribosomal RNA", at positions 104 to 712 of the family's 1533-position model. The record is from RNAcentral.
GGGUGAGUAACGCGUGGGAAAUCUGCCGAGUAGCGGGGGACAACGUUUGGAAACGAACGCUAAUACCGCAUAACAAUGAGAAUCGCAUGAUUCUUAUUUGAAAGAAGCAAUUGCUUCACUACUUGAUGAUCCCGCGUUGUAUUAGCUAGUUGGUAGUGUAAAGGACUACCAAGGCGAUGAUACAUAGCCGACCUGAGAGGGUGAUCGGCCACACUGGGACUGAGACACGGCCCAGACUCCUACGGGAGGCAGCAGUAGGGAAUCUUCGGCAAUGGGGGCAACCCUGACCGAGCAACGCCGCGUGAGUGAAGAAGGUUUUCGGAUCGUAAAACUCUGUUGUUAGAGAAGAACGUUAAGUAGAGUGGAAAAUUACUUAAGUGACGGUAUCUAACCAGAAAGGGACGGCUAACUACGUGCCAGCAGCCGCGGUAAUACGUAGGUCCCAAGCGUUGUCCGGAUUUAUUGGGCGUAAAGCGAGCGCAGGUGGUUUCUUAAGUCUGAUGUAAAAGGCAGUGGCUCAACCAUUGUGUGCAUUGGAAACUGGGAGACUUGAGUGCAGGAGAGGAGAGUGGAAUUCCAUGUGUAGCGGUGAAAUGCGUAGAUAUAUGGAGGAACACCGG